Molecule: non-coding RNA, 3234 nt
Organism: Punica granatum (pomegranate)
Lineage: Eukaryota; Viridiplantae; Streptophyta; Magnoliopsida; Myrtales; Lythraceae
Source: RefSeq, a predicted model, not a curated record
AGUUAUGUUUAUAUUGGUUGAGGAACAAUUUCACAGGCUCACAAAUUUCAUCGAGGAUUGGUAUAUUUAUAGGAUUGGCACAUCUCAAUCUCUCUAGUUCUUCCUUCUCGGGGAUCAUUCCUCUGGAGAUGAUAUCUCAUCACCUUUCCAGCCUAAUUUCACUCGAUCUCUCUAGCGACUACACCCUAAUUUCCGAUCAUUCCGGUCUACUUUCAUUCUUUCUCCCUAGUAACUUCCACCUAACAGUAGAAGAGGAUCAUAGUUUCAGAAGGUUUAUUAGUAAUCUCACUCAGCUGAGAGAACUUGCUCUUGAUUUUAUAGACAUGUCAAGAGUUUCUCUUACCUCCUUCACGAAUCUCUCUUCCACUCUGACUUCUUUAAGUCUUGGUGGCUGCUUUCGACAAGAGACAUUCCCAAUUAACAUCUUCCAUCUCCCAAACCUCCGCAUUCUCUCUCUUUCUGGUUUUGGUAUGCACUCACCUGACUGAAUUACUUGAUGAGAGCUAUUUGCUGAAGGUAUGAGACGCCUUUCAGUCAUCUGCAGCUGCUGUUUCCUCUUUGGGAGGUCACAUACUAUUUUUCAUGACAAUGUCAGUCGGAGAAGAUCACGUUCUGCACCAUGAGUGUACUAAGGCCUGAAGAUGCUUCAGCAGAUAUUGAGGACAUUGUUUUUCUUUACCGGUAUAACUUACCUCUGUUCUUGAUCGCAUGAAGUAGCAAUCAGAAGUUUUUAGUUUCACCAUUCAGAUAGAGAUAAUUGAGCUUUCGACAAUGAAGGAUCCUCCUUUGACAAGAUUGCCAUUCUUUGUUCAGGCUAGUUCCUGGAUACACGCUUCUGAGCUAUGGUAAAACAGAUAUGUAUGCUUAGUGUUGAGAUGCAUUUCAUAAGGCUUUAUUAGGAAACUCCCAUCUAAGUUAUACUUUCUCCAGGUCUUCAUUGUGCACUCCUCGCUGGUAUACUUCUAAACUCUCUUAAGCUGUGAAAUGAGGAAUUUGUCGCUUAAAAUGAGAAAUAUUUGUGCCAUGCCUUGUCCAGAAAUUUUAACAAGAGGAUUGCUUAGGUGUUCGGAGAAGAUAAUGAUCUGCAGAAUUUAUUAAUGAAGUCGUGUUGUUUUUCAACUGUCAUGAGAUGGUGCUUUCAUCAUAAGAGUUCUUUCUAGUAGAACUCUUUCGGGCAAACUAUCAGCCCAUGCUUAUUAAAAUAUGGAACUAAAGCGCAUUGUGUAUAUGGUUUAAAAUGUCAUGAAUGUGGUCCUUGAGCGUACAGUUUGGAAAAGAUGGAAUUUCUCAGUAAGGCUUCUUUACUUUAUACAAGAUGGUGCAAAUAAGAUGGAAUAUGAAAUGACCUUGUAUUCAUUUCAUUUUUGGCAUUUGUUGAGUAUUCGGUUUCUAAGCUUGCUCCUAGACUUGUAUAUUCCUGGCUGCCACGUAUUUCGUUGCUGCAUCUCUUCUGGAUCAGUGGUUUCCUCAAAAAGUUAAUUUGAUGCUUUGCUUGUGCAGGUGUUCCGAAGGCAGUGAUUGACAGAGCUGCAUUGAUUCUAGGUAGCCCUGGGAACAAUCAGACCACUGAUAGAAUGCACAAUGAGAGAAUAUUGGCUCAAGAUCAGCAAUACAAGAAUACAUUGGAGAAGAUGCUGGCAUUUGAUACAAUUCGUGAUGAUCUCAGAAGCUUCUCUCGGGAAAUAUUAGCAUCGUAAUAUCUGAGGCAUGAAGUAAUUCUUUUCUUUGGCAACAGCGUACGUUCUGCUGUCGAGAUUCGUAUGUGUAUUUGUCGAGGAUUAGAUGAUGGAUAUACUACUCCCGCCUGGUGUAGGGGACUAGUAGCAGCCGCUUCCAGUGGUGGUUAGAUACGUUCUUUUAUUCUUCCUCUUAGAAGAAAAUAAGGAAGCUUUUCCUUUUCUGGGAUGUUGGGAAGUAUGGCAUUUUCUUAGACAGGUAAACCAUCAAAUCUUUCCCAACCAGCUGAAUAUAUAUAUAUAUAUAUAUUCGUGUACUGUAUAUAACACAUUAUAAAGGGCAAAGGCAAAAAGAACAGGGUGACUCUAUAUUUAACUUGAAUAUAAUUUAUUGAUUACAGCUUGGCCAUGCUCUGUAGUUUCCGUUUCUCAAGCUGCAAUCAAGUAUGUCUUUGACUGAUGGAGAUAUAUCUAGCUUAUAAAAUUAUAAGAAAGAUUUUUAUCUUUUAAAUUUCUUUUCAUUCUGGAAUUCAUGAAUUGUAUUACCUAUUUUGUUGUCUCUAAUAAUUAAUGUAUAUAGUCUACUAUAUAUUUUAUUUCUUUAUAUAUAUUAUUGGAUUAUAUGCAUAUAAUUUAUAUAUUCUACUACAUAAUUAAAGAUAGACAAUUUGGUACAUACAUAAUGAUGACGUGGCAACGCGAGAGAGCUCCGUCUUUUUUUUAUUUUUAAUGAUGUGGCAGCUUGAGAAUUAAGCUCUUGCUUCAUUUUCAUAUAUAUAUAUAUAUAUGUAUAUAUAUAUAUAGAUGGGUCUUCCUAUUCUUUAUUCUUGAUGCGACAAAUCAAAUCAGAGAGAGAGAGAGAUAUCGAGUGAGAGAGAGAGGAAAUUAGAGCGAUUAUGGAAAUAGUAAAGUGUUCAUGUUAGGUAAGUGAUUGUGACUCAUACUAGUAUUUGUGAAAUAUAAAAUAUUUUUUUAUAGAAAAUAAUAUUAUGAAAUCGAUAUUGAUUUGCGUUUAUUGUUUGCUAAAACUAUUAUUAAUUUUGUGAAUAUGUUUUGAUAUCGAAAUUUGUGGAAUUUUGUUUGUGUAUGGGUACAUUUGGCUUUGACCUGGGCUCCACCAAUGGAGAUAUAAACUGGAUUAAGUGAUUAAGAUUUAUUGGUCUUCUCACGAGCUAAUGUGAGCGUAGUCAUUUGUAUUAUUGUGUGUUAAUUUUCAAUCUGUGUUCCACAAUUAAAAUAUAUAUGUCUGAUUAUGAAAUGAAUUAUUUUACCUGCAUGAUCUAGAUAGUAUUGGUCACUGUCACUUACUAGGUUCUCUCUGAAUUGACCCCCCAGUUCUCCUUUCAGAUGAUAUUACAGGUUUAAGAGUUAUCAGAGUGCGCAGCGGAAGCAAAAAUGGAUUUUUAGGAUUUUAUUUGUUAAUUGUAUUUACAGAUUAUUUAUAGAAUAAUAAUGUAUUAUUACAUAUUUGUAAAAUUUAUGUAUUUAUGGAUACGUAUGAAAACCUUAAGUAUAUUAUAACUCAAUGAAAUUUUCGGAUUUUUCAAAGCCCGGAAAA